AGUGAGGAAUAUUGGACAAUGGACGAAAGUCUGAUCCAGCCAUGCCGCGUGCAGGAUGACGGCCCUAUGGGUUGUAAACUGCUUUUAUACAGGAAGAAACACUCCCACGUGUGGGGGCUUGACGGUACUGUACGAAUAAGGAUCGGCUAACUCCGUGCCAGCAGCCGCGGUAAUACGGAGGAUCCAAGCGUUAUCCGGAAUUAUUGGGUUUAAAGGGUCCGCAGGCGGUCUAUUAAGUCAGAGGUGAAAUCUUGCAGCUCAACUGUAAAAUUGCCUUUGAUACUGGUAGACUUGAGUCAUUGUGAAGUGGUUAGAAUGUGUGGUGUAGCGGUGAAAUGCAUAGAUAUCACACAGAAUACCAAUUGCGAAGGCAGAUCACUAACAAUGUACUGACGCUCAUGGACGAAAGCGUGGGGAGCGAACAGGAUUAGAUACCCUGGUAGUCCACGCCGUAAACGAUGGAUACUAACUGUUCGACCUUC
RNAcentral lists this ribosomal RNA (482 nucleotides) under uncultured bacterium. Its description in RNAcentral is "bacterial SSU rRNA". It matches the Rfam family "Bacterial small subunit ribosomal RNA", at positions 353 to 832 of the family's 1533-position model. The record is from RNAcentral.